This 253-nucleotide ribosomal RNA is filed under the name uncultured bacterium. RNAcentral's name for it is "partial 16S ribosomal RNA". It matches the Rfam family "Bacterial small subunit ribosomal RNA", at positions 524 to 776 of the family's 1533-position model. The record is from RNAcentral.
UACGUAGGGUGCGAGCGUUGUCCGGAAUUAUUGGGCGUAAAGGGUUCGUAGGCGGUGUGGCAAGUCGGGAGUGAAAUCUCUGGGCUCAACUCAGAGACUGCUUCCGAAACUGCUGUGCUGGAGUGUGGGAGAGGCGCGUGGAAUUGCAGGUGUAGCGGUGAAAUGCGUAGAUAUCUGCAGGAACACCCGUGGCGAAAGCGGCGCGCUGGACCACUACUGACGCUGAGGAACGAAAGCUAGGGGAGCAAACAGG